AACGCAACUUGCGCCUUUUACGAGGCAUGUUUGUUUGAGUGCCGCAAUCCUCUGCAGCAAUGCGAUUUGACUCGUGUCUUUGUUGACCGAGUUUAAACAGAGCUAGAGGAUGGUCAGUUUGGCCUAGUCCGAGUGCUAAGCAUUCUUGGGCCUAGGUUGGAUUGGUCAUUAAAUCUAUCUUUUAUUUUUGGCCUCAAAUCAAGCAAGACUACCCGCUGAACUUAA
Molecule: unclassified non-coding RNA, 225 nt
Filed under: uncultured fungus
Lineage: Eukaryota; Fungi
Description: sequence contains ITS2
Source: RNAcentral